Molecule: non-coding RNA, 1657 nt
Organism: Camellia sinensis
Lineage: Eukaryota; Viridiplantae; Streptophyta; Magnoliopsida; Ericales; Theaceae
Source: RefSeq, a predicted model, not a curated record
UAGCAUCUAUAAUCUUACUCGCUUGUAGAGAUUGGAUAUGGAAAAUUGCAAUGUAUCAUGUCUGUCUAGUGAUAUUGGGAAUUUGAUCUCAUUAACACAUUUGGAUCUUAAUGGUAACAAUUUGUGUACCUUACCGGAUAGCAUCGGUAACCUUACUCGCUUGCAGAUAUUGAACAUGGCAUAUUGCAAUGUAUCAUAUCUGUCUAGUGAAAUUGGGAAUUUGAUCUCAUUAACAGAUUUGGAUCUUAGAGGAAACGAUUUGUGUGCCUUACCGGAUAGCAUCGGUAACCUUACUCGCUUGCAAUCAUUGAAGAUGGUAGGAUGCAAUGUAUCACAUUUGCCCAGUGAAAUUGGGAGUUUAAUCUCAUUAAGAGAUUUGAAUCUUGUAGAAAAUAAUUUGCGUUCCUUACCGGAUAGCAUCGGUAACCUUACUUGCUUGACAUUUUUGGCGAUAUCAAAUUGCAAUGUAUCAUAUUUACCCAGUGAAAUUGGGAGUUUGAUCUCAUUAACAGGUUUGUUUCUUGAUGGAAACAAUUUUUGUACACUUCCGGAUAGCAUCGGUAACCUUACUCGCUUGGUUUGUUUGCAUAUGACAAAUUGCAAUGUAUCAUAUUUACCCAGUGAAAUUGGGAGUUUGAUCUCAUUAGCAAAUUUGGUUCUUGAUGGAAACAAUCUGUGUACACUUCCGGAUAGCGUCGGCAAGCUUUAUCGCUUGAUUGGGCUAAGUAUGAACAAUUGCAAUUUGUCACAUAUGCCCAGUGCAAUUUGGAGGUUGAUGGGGCUCUCAUUAGAAUACUUGUAUCUUAAAGGCUGCCAUAAAUCAGCCGAGAGCAAUUUUGUAUAUAAUGUCAUGAAAGCAGCCAUCUGGCAGGUUCAGGAUUAUCGUAUGUUCCAUCCGAUCCAUGGUUUUGUAAAUCAUUCUAGUAUCCAUCUUACAUGGGGUGAGGUUCCCAGAUGGUUCGAGUACCAAACUGAAGGAUCAUCUUUAUCUGUCAAGGUGCCGCCCCUUGUAAAUCAAAAAAUAUGGAGCUUGGCUGUAUGCGUAAUUUACAUUGGAUCCAAUUCCAAUGAAAAAUGCAAUCAAAAAGGUUUUUUUUUUCUUGAAUACCAUAUAAACAAAGUCCAGAGGAGAUCAUAUUUAAUUGGUGAUCGCGGUGAUGGUUUAUGUAGAGAAGACCAGAUGUUCCUCAAAUUUACGUCAAUGAGUGAAUUAGAAGGCGGUGAUGAAGUGGAGAUCUUCAUAACAAAGUGUUGGCAUAUACAGGUAAAAAAGUGUGCGGCUAAAUUAAUUUUUGAGGUUGAUGAAGAUACGGAUGAUGAAGCAUAGGCCGACUACAUCUCAUCACCUUCCCCGAGUGCCAUUCAAGAAGAAGAGGAAGAAGUUGAUUAUCCAACCGAAAGAAGAAGUUGAUUCAACAGAUUAAUAAUAAAACUUAAAGCAUUGGAAGCAAACGCAGCUAGCAGGGGCACAAAGAUUUGAAGGUGGUCGUAGCUCUCCAUUGCUUUUCGAUGUCUGUUAUAAUGCUCGAAGUCUGAUGUCUGUUAUAAUGCUCGAAGGCUGCAUUGUUGUAGGAUCAGUCUUUUGCAACGUCGAGAUCUACAAAAAAAAAAAAAAAAAAAAAAGAAAAAGAAAAAGAAAAAGAAAAAGAAAAAAAAA